Molecule: non-coding RNA, 30 nt
Filed under: Mus musculus (house mouse)
Lineage: Eukaryota; Metazoa; Chordata; Mammalia; Rodentia; Muridae
Source: RNAcentral
UAGGAUCACAUUGGAGACAAAGUAGCAGGC